GAAGAGAUCCCAAAUUAUUAUUAUUAUUUUUUUUUCAAGAAUGUGAACAGUCGACACUCGACACUUGCUGUCUUGCGUCCAUCCCGUUUUCACUCCCGGCCAAUGUCCUCUUCUUCAGCAAUCCAACGCCCUUGCAAGCUAUAAUCAAGAUGGAACGUCAGCUCUCUCUCUCUCUCUCUCUCUCUCUCUCUCUCUCUCCAACUUUUCCACUUCCAUUCUCUAAUUUGCCAUUUCUUUAUGCUAUUUUUUAUUUUGUUCAUAUGAAAAUGGAAUUUUUUUUUUUUAAAUGUUGGAUUAGAAUAUUACAUUAUACCAUUGGACGAGAUUCAAUUUAUUUACUUAACCCAGUAUUAAGUUUCGUUAAGAAUUUCCAUCAAACACUUUGUGUGCCACCCUUGUAUUCUUGCUUCUAUUGUCCAUUGUUAUCCUCUUUAGCCAACCCGUUACAAUCACCAUAACACAGAUCAGUUCCACCAUUUCAUCCAUCAUUCUUGUUUCAACCACAAUACAGAAUUAAGUUCCUUACAAACGGCAACGAUGGGGGCUAGAAAAGAAAGGGAGGAGGGAGACGGGAAGGGAGAGUAGCGGGGGGAAGAGGGAAAGCAGUAGGGGAGAAAAUUAAAACUGUCGGGGGAAGAGAGAGAGCGAAGGAGGGGGGUCAAAAAGAGAAACAACUAAAAAUGGACUUGCUACGUAAGUUUGUGGAGUCUCUUUAUGGGAUACCUUUGUGACUUCGGUAUUUUCCAACGCUCUUAGGAGUUAAAAGACCUGCGAGGUAACUACUUCACAAGGGCUUUUGGGCCUGCAUACUACCAAAUUCAUUGUUACGGGUAAAUAUGGCAGGCCUACAAUAUAUCAGGCCAUUUCAUUAUGUGAUUCAUAAAAAAAUAUGUGAGAAAAUAUAAAAAAUGAGGACAGGACAAGGCAAGACAUAAGAUCUUAGGAAAUAGAUCUUAGGAAAUGAAGUUAGACAUGUAAAGGGAAAUUGAGAAUAUUUUAGUUAUGCUGUGUUAAAGGAACUUUGAAUAAGAAUAUUUUCUGAAACUUUCAUUCUGAUAUUUUUUAUAACAUAUUCUAAUUCUACAUUCUGAAAGUAAAAAUAUUUUUGUUUUGCAUUUUAAAUUCUGUAAAUGCUCAUAUUUGUAUACUGGUAUAUGUUCUCUAUUUAUUGAGUUAUUGAUAACUCACUCUCUUAUCUCCACAAUAUUUUUUAAAUAUUUUUUAUAGUUCAGCUAGAGAAUAUGAGUAGGAAGUAUUAGAAAAAUUCGAUGAUCAUAUUAGGGGUGGGCAGCGGGGCCCCACCCCGCUCUUGUGUGGCGAGGUGGAUUGCCCCAUCCGCAUAGCGGGCCCGUAUUUUGCCACUUAGCGGGGGCAGGGGUGGGAUAGGGUGGUCCCCCGCCCAGGAAAUACCCCACCGUGAAUAUAUAAUAUAUAUUAUAUAUAAAUAUAUAAUUAUAAAUACAACAUAUGUUUAAAAAAAUCCUCAAGUGACCAAAACGGCAUCGUUUGGCACCGGGGUUUUUUUUUAAUUAAUUUAGUAAACCCAAAACGGUGUCGUUUUGGGUUUACUAACCUAAAAGGCUAACACCCUGCCCCCCCUCCUCUCAAUUUGAAGGCUGAAGCCCCCUCUCCCCACUAAGUUUGCCUUCCAUGAGAGUAUCGUUGUCGUCACAGCCCCCUGUCGCCACUGCAGCUGACCUCCUUGUUGUCUAUGCUUGCCGUCGUUAUCGAAGUUCAAGAUGUUAUUGAUUAUUGUCAAGUCAAUGCCGAGGAGGAGGGUGCUGUUGAGCCUUAAUAUGUGACACCUAGGACGGCAUCUACGGCUACCUCCGCUACAGUAUAACUUCGUGUAUAUUAGAGUGGAGACCCACCAUUACUCAUGGUUCUAUGAUCUUGAAUUUGAUUCUCACAUAACUCAAUACAACUCAGAAUCAUAGUGAACUCAUCGCCAUCCAAAAUUGAUCAAACUUUCCAAUAUUAUAAUUUUGUUAAUUCACAAUUAGUUGUAAUGUUUAUAGUAUAAUUUGUAGUAUAUAUUAUUUUUAUGCCUUUGUAAUUUUGCAAUUGUUUAUUAGGUUUCUUAAUUUAUAAUUUGUAUCAUUCUAAAUUUGUAAUAGCUUAGUGCGUGUCUUAGUGAUGGUUAUUACUUAGUUCUUAAUAGACUAAUAGUACUAGGUUGAAGUUUGAACUUGGAACUUGGUAAUUAGUGUUUCUAUUCAUAUUUUUUUUUUCAGUUUUUU
This is a long non-coding RNA of Carya illinoinensis, 2240 nucleotides long. RefSeq lists it as uncharacterized. The record is from RefSeq and is a predicted model, not a curated record. The transcript has 4 exons. NCBI's taxonomy places the organism in Eukaryota, Viridiplantae, Streptophyta, Magnoliopsida, Fagales, Juglandaceae.